RNAcentral lists this ribosomal RNA (575 nucleotides) under Salmonella enterica subsp. enterica serovar Newport. RNAcentral's name for it is "partial 23S ribosomal RNA". It matches the Rfam family "Bacterial large subunit ribosomal RNA", at positions 711 to 1283 of the family's 2925-position model. Lineage: Bacteria; Pseudomonadati; Pseudomonadota; Gammaproteobacteria; Enterobacterales; Enterobacteriaceae. The record is from RNAcentral.
AGACCCGAAACCCGGUGAUCUAGCCAUGGGCAGGUUGAAGGUUGGGUAACACUAACUGGAGGACCGAACCGACUAAUGUUGAAAAAUUAGCGGAUGACCUGUGGCUGGGGGUGAAAGGCCAAUCAAACCGGGAGAUAGCUGGUUCUCCCCGAAAGCUAUUUAGGUAGCGCCUCGUGAAUUCAUCUCCGGGGGUAGAGCACUGUUUCGGCUAGGGGGCCAUCCCGGCUUACCAACCCGAUGCAAACUGCGAAUACCGGAGAAUGUUAUCACGGGAGACACACGGCGGGUGCUAACGUCCGUCGUGAAGAGGGAAACAACCCAGACCGCCAGCUAAGGUCCCAAAGUCAUGGUUAAGUGGGAAACGAUGUGGGAAGGCCCAGACAGCCAGGAUGUUGGCUUAGAAGCAGCCAUCAUUUAAAGAAAGCGUAAUAGCUCACUGGUCGAGUCGGCCUGCGCGGAAGAUGUAACGGGGCUAAACCAUGCACCGAAGCUGCGGCAGCGACACUGUGUGUUGUUGGGUAGGGGAGCGUUCUGUAAGCCUGUGAAGGUGUGUCGUGAGGCAUGCUGGAGGUAUC